GGAGGGCUGGCAGAGCCUGGGUUAAUGCACCCGUUUCGAAAACGGGCAGGGGCUGAAAGGUCCCUCGGGGGUUCAAAUCCCUCGCCCUCCG
RNAcentral lists this transfer RNA (91 nucleotides) under Bertelyvirus sp. RNAcentral's name for it is "tRNA-Ser". It matches the Rfam family "tRNA". From Rfam's summary of the family: Transfer RNA (tRNA) molecules are approximately 80 nucleotides in length. Their secondary structure includes four short double-helical elements and three loops (D, anti-codon, and T loops). Further hydrogen bonds mediate the characteristic L-shaped molecular structure. tRNAs have two regions of fundamental functional importance: the anti-codon, which is responsible for specific mRNA codon recognition, and the 3' end, to which the tRNAs corresponding amino acid is attached (by aminoacyl-tRNA synthetases). tRNAs cope with the degeneracy of the genetic code in two manners: having more than one tRNA (with a specific anti-codon) for a particular amino acid; and 'wobble' base-pairing, i.e. permitting non-standard base-pairing at the 3rd anti-codon position. Lineage: Duplodnaviria; Heunggongvirae; Uroviricota; Caudoviricetes; Jeanschmidtviridae. RNAcentral also lists the same sequence under 4 other names. The record is from RNAcentral.